This is a long non-coding RNA of Daphnia magna, 605 nucleotides long. RefSeq lists it as uncharacterized. The record is from RefSeq and is a predicted model, not a curated record. The transcript has 3 exons. Lineage: Eukaryota; Metazoa; Arthropoda; Branchiopoda; Diplostraca; Daphniidae.
GAGGGAGAAGGUCUUACGGUUCCCGUCUUGUAUAAUUUGGUAUGCCUUGCUGACUGAGAAUACAGUGUUUAACGCAGACUUAACACAACCCAGUAAUAUCUUCGACUAUGGCACUUAAGUGCAAAAUUUGCAUCCAGCAGUAAAACAUAGAUUGCUGGAAGCCUUGGUAACUGCAACAACAGCACUAUCUGAAAAUCCUCCUUUGUCCCCUUUGCCUUUGGCACCUGGUUACAAAGCUGGAACACGGCCAGACAAUUUGAAUUCAUUGAAUCUCGACUCGAACGCUUCCGAAGAAGAAAUCUUCCAAAGGGUCAGCCACCUGCUGCCGUAUUCACUAGAAGAACUAAGAGAUAUGCAAUCACGACUGGGAAUCGAUGCAGUUGUUACCAUUAUCGUACAGGCCCUACUUGGCCAGCUUGUCAAUCUUGUACUAAUACCCUUCAUUAUUAGCAUAUUCACUGGUAUGAUUGCUGGAUAAGCUGGGAGUCUGCUUUACGACAACCACUCCGUUACGCUUCUUCAACUCUUUUUGUUAUCUAGUUUUUAUGAGGGGUUUCCUCAAAUCAAUUCAUAUUAAACUUGAUUGUUUCAUUCCUUUCCUACCU